AUGAACGCUGGCGGCGUGCCUAAUACAUGCAAGUCGAGCGAACGGACGAGAAGCUUGCUUCUCUGAUGUUAGCGGCGGACGGGUGAGUAACACGUGGAUAACCUACCUAUAAGACUGGGAUAACUUCGGGAAACCGGAGCUAAUACCGGAUAAUAUUUUUAACCGCCUGGUUCAAAAGUGAAAGACGGUCUUGCUGUCACUUAUAGAUGGAUCCGCGCUGCAUUAGCUAGUUGGUAAGGUAACGGCUUACCAAGGCAACGAUGCAUAGCCGACCUGAGAGGGUGAUCGGCCACACUGGAACUGAGACACGGUCCAGACUCCUACGGGAGGCAGCAGUAGGGAAUCUUCCGCAAUGGGCGAAAGCCUGACGGAGCAACGCCGCGUGAGUGACGAAGGUCUUCGGAUCGUAAAACUCUGUUAUUAGGGAAGAACAUAUGUGUAAGUAACUGUGCACAUCUUGACGGUACCUAAUCAGAAAGCCACGGCUAACUACGUG
RNAcentral lists this ribosomal RNA (496 nucleotides) under uncultured bacterium. Its description in RNAcentral is "partial 16S ribosomal RNA". It matches the Rfam family "Bacterial small subunit ribosomal RNA", at positions 29 to 507 of the family's 1533-position model. The record is from RNAcentral.